GAGGGCAAAGCUCAAGUGGUAGAGCGCAUGCUUAGCAUGCAUGAGGUCCUGGGUUCAAUCCCCAGUACCUCCU
This 73-nucleotide transfer RNA is filed under the name Camelus bactrianus (Bactrian camel). It matches the Rfam family "tRNA". From Rfam's summary of the family: Transfer RNA (tRNA) molecules are approximately 80 nucleotides in length. Their secondary structure includes four short double-helical elements and three loops (D, anti-codon, and T loops). Lineage: Eukaryota; Metazoa; Chordata; Mammalia; Artiodactyla; Camelidae. RNAcentral also lists the same sequence under 2 other names. The record is from Rfam by way of RNAcentral.